GGAUGAGGGCGGCCGGCAGCUGAAGGAGGAGGACAGCUAGAAUCGUGAUAGAAAUUGAUGGCGGAGGACAGCGGCUGAGUGGUGACAGAAAAUGGAGGAGGAGGGCGGCGGCCCAAGACACGGGGCUAGACGGAUAGGAACAUAUAUUACGAAAAAAUAAGGGAGGAAACAACUAGCUAGAAGGAAGGAAGCUAAGAAAAAGGAGCAACAAGGAAAGAAGCAAAAGAAAAAGGAAAAGUUAACACAUAAAGGAGUCAUUUCAAUCAAAUGCAACAUAUGUGAUAAAUAUGGGCACAAUAAGAGGUAUCAUGGGAAUCCUAAAAGCAUCCAAGCAUCAGAAACUCAGUCCUCACACUCUGUGAAUGCAUCAAGUAGUGUUGAUAUUCAGCAGCCCACACAAGGCAGUCAAGUAACUGGUGAAUUUGGGAUGAUCGAUGUGAGUGCAUCCUUUUGGAUGAUCUCAUCUUUUUCUCUCUUGAGAAUUAUGAUUGCAAUUUACUAUAAUUUGAUGCAAGGUUCUACACGGAUUCAAAACUUUAGAUUUACUACUAAUGUUUAUGCUAGUCAAACAAGUUCACUGUUUGAAGGUGUUGUUCCAUCUAAUGUUGGAGUUCAAAUCCCACCGGAAGGGCAAGAGGCAAAAGAGUUAAGCGUACAAAAAACAGAGGCAAAGAGGUGUCAUCAAGAUACAUGGACCACUUAAAAGAAUCAAAGAAGUGAUCUUGAUUUUUAAUGGUUCUUUUGGAUAUUUUGAAAUUUUGCUUGUGUUCCUUUUUUGGAAUUGAUGGUUAAUUUGGAUUUCCGGCAUAUGUUGUAUACAAUCAUCAUU
This is a long non-coding RNA of Ricinus communis (castor bean), 829 nucleotides long. RefSeq lists it as uncharacterized. The record is from RefSeq and is a predicted model, not a curated record. NCBI's taxonomy places the organism in Eukaryota, Viridiplantae, Streptophyta, Magnoliopsida, Malpighiales, Euphorbiaceae. The transcript has 3 exons.